This is a long non-coding RNA of Cucurbita pepo subsp. pepo (vegetable marrow), 789 nucleotides long. RefSeq lists it as uncharacterized. Lineage: Eukaryota; Viridiplantae; Streptophyta; Magnoliopsida; Cucurbitales; Cucurbitaceae. The record is from RefSeq and is a predicted model, not a curated record.
CCAAAAUGCCCAUAGUUUUGAAUAAGCAAUCCGUGUUAAGGCAAAAAUGAAGAUGAUUGAAGAAACCCACAACGCACAGGCGGCCGAGGCCCCGAGAAAGUUGCCCCAACGCCACACCAAGAACACACAGAUAGCAGAGGCUCAGCUCAAGGGUUUCUUUCAAAUGGGGUGUAAAAGGAAGUGUAGGAGAUAAGCACGCCAUCUGAAAACGAAAGCAAGAACGACAGAAUCGAAAAGGAAAACAAAACCCAUCUCAUUUUUGAGGUACCCUUUGAUGUGUCCUUUAUCCUGAACAACCUUCCAAGCAAAGCUAGCUGGCCAUACGAGUCCGUACAAUGAUUGUCUCUUGAGUUCCUUUCUUUUCUUUUCUUUCCUAUGGAGAAAUGCUUGGUUCCCAUUUCCUCUUUGUUGGGAGUUUCUUAGCCAUUGAUAUCUUAGCAACAACAGUUUGAGAAUGGUGUUAUUACAAUCACAAAGCCUUGCAGGUUGGAAGAAACGGACACGAGAAUCUUCAACUUUAUGGAGAAGAGAAGAAUCACACCGCCCCAAUCGAGAAGAAUCGCGCUCGUGGGCGUGGCCCAGGGAUUCUACUCUUCUUUCACUGGUUUGUCCCUAUGAAUGAUCGUCGACCGAGUAACGAACGAAGUCGACCAUUUUUUGUUGCAGUCUUUUACCCAUUUGGUACUAUGCAUAGUUAUGAUGGGGUAGAAAUCUUUGAAUCUUAUCUUUUGAUUACUUCAUAUAAUCUAUUGAUUUAGUCUAUCAAAUUUAGAGCAAUAAUUUGAUUUA